This 497-nucleotide ribosomal RNA is filed under the name uncultured bacterium. RNAcentral's name for it is "partial 16S ribosomal RNA". It matches the Rfam family "Bacterial small subunit ribosomal RNA", at positions 28 to 507 of the family's 1533-position model. The record is from RNAcentral.
GAUGAACGCUGGCGGCGUGCCUAAUACAUGCAAGUCGAGCGAACAGAUGAGGAGCUUGCUCCUCUGACGUUAGCGGCGGACGGGUGAGUAACACGUGGAUAACCUACCUAUAAGACUGGGAUAACUUCGGGAAACCGGAGCUAAUACCGGAUAAUAUAUUGAACCGCAUGGUUCAAUAGUGAAAGACGGUUUUGCUGUCACUUAUAGAUGGAUCCGCGCCGCAUUAGCUAGUUGGUAAGGUAACGGCUUACCAAGGCAACGAUGCGUAGCCGACCUGAGAGGGUGAUCGGCCACCUGAGAAGGGAAACACGGACAAGACGCCUGCGGGAGGGAGCAGAAGGGAAUGUUACGCAGUGGGCGAAAGCCUGACGGAGCAACGCCGCGUGAGUGAUGAAGGUCUUCGGAUCGUAAAACUCUGUUAUGAGGGAAGAACAAAUGUGUAAGUAACUAUGCACGUAUUGACGGUACCUAAUCAGAAAGCCACGGCUAACUACGUG